UCUGCCUUUCAGACGGGGACAACUCAGGGAAACUUGUGCUAAUACCCGAUGAGACCACAAGAAGGGAUUUUUGUGGCCAAAGGCGGGCAGCAAUGCUCGUGCUGAAAGAUGAGUCUGCGUCCUAUCAGCUAGUUGGUGGGGUAAAUGCCUACCAAGGCUAAGACGGGUAGCCGGCCUGAGAGGGUGAACGGCCACACUGGGACUGAGACACGGCCCGGACUCCUACGGGAGGCAGCAGUGAGGAAUUUUCCGCAAUGGGCGCAAGCCUGACGGAGCGACGCCGCGUGAGGGAUGACAGCUUUCGGGUUGUAAACCUCUUUUAUUAAGGAAAAAGAUCUAUAUGCUAAUAUCAUGUAGAUUUGAUGGUACUUAUUGAAUAAGCCCCGGCUAACUACGUGCCAGCAGCCGCGGGUAAUACGUAGGGGGCGAGCGUUGUCCAGAGUUACUGGGCGUAAAGAGCGUGUAGGCGGUUGAAAAAGUCAGGUGUGAAAUUCUUCGGCUCAACCGAGGGACUGCGCUUGAAACUUUUCGACUGGAGUUUGGGGAGGGGCAACCGGAAUUCCUGGUGUAACCGGUGAAAUGGUGUAGAUAUCAGGAGGAACACCCGUGGCGAAGGCGGGUUUGCUGGACCAAAACUGACGCUGAAACGCGAAAGCGUGGGUAGGCAACAGGAUUAAAUACCCUGGUAGUCCACGCUGUGAACGAUGAGUGCUA
This 714-nucleotide ribosomal RNA is filed under the name uncultured bacterium. RNAcentral describes it as "bacterial SSU rRNA". It matches the Rfam family "Bacterial small subunit ribosomal RNA", at positions 125 to 818 of the family's 1533-position model. The record is from RNAcentral.